RNAcentral lists this ribosomal RNA (495 nucleotides) under uncultured bacterium. Its description in RNAcentral is "bacterial SSU rRNA". It matches the Rfam family "Bacterial small subunit ribosomal RNA", at positions 8 to 526 of the family's 1533-position model. The record is from RNAcentral.
AGAGUUUGAUCAUGGCUCAGAAUGAACGUUGGCGGCGUGGAUUAGGCAUGCAAGUCGAACGCUUGAGGGGCAACCCGAUGGCGUGGCGAAAGGGGUAGUAAUACAUAAGCAACCUGCCUUCAGAUCUGGGAUAUGCGGUUGAAAAGCCGUGCAAUACUAGACGCGUCAUCGAGCGGCAUCGCUUGAUGAUGAAAGGCUGGUCUGUCUGAAGAGGGGCUUAUGUCCUAUCAGCUUGUUGGUGAGGUAACGGCUCACCAAGGCGAUGACGGGUAGGGGGUGUGAGAGCACGAUCCCCACCACUGGCACUGAGACACUGGCCAGACUCCUACGGGAGGCUGCAGUCGAGAAUCUUCGGCAAUGGGCGCAAGCCUGACCGAGCGACGCCGCGUGGAGGAUGAAGGCCUUCGGGUUGUAAACUCCUGUUGGGGGGGAACAAAUCCGAGUGAACCCCUGAGGAAGCACGGGCUAAGUUCGUGCCAGCAGCCGCGGUAAUUC